Molecule: long non-coding RNA, 620 nt
Organism: Peromyscus leucopus (white-footed mouse)
Lineage: Eukaryota; Metazoa; Chordata; Mammalia; Rodentia; Cricetidae
Exons: 3
Source: RefSeq, a predicted model, not a curated record
GUGUUUUGUCUCAAGGUUAACUAGAGGGCACCGAACAAGUAAAGCUGUGCUGAAAAGAACAGUGGCCAAGAGAGGGAUAUUCUUAUACCACACACAGUCAUGCAGAUGGAAGUCUGGCCAACAAAACCAUAAAGCAUCACGUCUCACUGUGAGUCAAUCUGUCAGCUCAAGUACAAGGUGACUCAGGAAAAGACUCGGUCUGUUUUCUGAUAGACUCACGAUGGACUCAUCAGAAAUAUUUAGAGGUGGAGGAGAGCAAUGUCAUCAUUGUCAGGCUGUGGAGCAACAAUUACUGCUGGCAACAGAGGAAAAUGGGACAGUAGAGCCCAUGCCUCCAACCAUCGAUUGCCCUUUAGAUAUCACAGGACCUGUUUCUCUUACCAUGGGAUCUCUGGCUUUACAACACUGGUGUCAUAGUGCCAAGAAUGUCGGUGUAAUGCAAAGCUGAAGUAUUCCUGGAUCCCUGGACUGCGGAGAAGAAAAAGCAACAGCAUCAUCUGUUAAAGGGACUGCCAACCACAUCAAUAUAUUCUGCUGAAAUCAAGCUUAUAUCACUUUCCUACUGUGUAAAAUUUUCUACACUGUAGCGGCUUCCAACAGUAAAUUUUUUAUUGCUUGCA